This 300-nucleotide ribosomal RNA is filed under the name uncultured Prauserella sp. RNAcentral describes it as "bacterial SSU rRNA". The stretch from base 52 to 300 matches the Rfam family "Bacterial small subunit ribosomal RNA", at positions 547 to 795 of the family's 1533-position model. The record is from RNAcentral. Lineage: Bacteria; Bacillati; Actinomycetota; Actinomycetes; Pseudonocardiales; Pseudonocardiaceae.
GCGGACGCGUGGGCGGGAUGCGUGGGAGUAAGUGGGGGGGUAGGGUUAAUCGGAAGUACUGGUCGUAAAGCUGGCGCAGGUGGUUGGGGAAGUCAGAGGGGAAGUCCCCGGGCUCAACCUGUGAACUGCAUUGGAGACUGCACGGCUAGAGGAUGGCAGAGGGGGGUAGAAUUCCACGUGUAGCAGUGAAAUGCGUAGAGAUGUGGAGGAAUACCGAUGGCGAAGGCAGCCCCCUGGGCUAUUUCUGACACUCAUGCACGAAAGCGUGGGGAGCAAACAGGAUUAGAUACCCCAGUAGUC